This 253-nucleotide ribosomal RNA is filed under the name uncultured bacterium. Its description in RNAcentral is "partial 16S ribosomal RNA". It matches the Rfam family "Bacterial small subunit ribosomal RNA", at positions 524 to 776 of the family's 1533-position model. The record is from RNAcentral.
UACGUAGGUGGCAAGCGUUGUCCGGAAUUAUUGGGCGUAAAGCGUGCGUAGGCGGUUCGCUGUGUCCGAUGUGAAAGCCCCGGGCUUAACCUGGGAAUGGCAUUGGAAACUGGCGGGCUUGAGUGCGGCAGAGGGGGGUGGAAUUCCGCGUGUAGCAGUGAAAUGCGUAGAGAUGCGGAGGAACACCGAUGGCGAAGGCAGCCCCCUGGGUCGACACUGACGCUCAGGCACGAAAGCGUGGGGAGCAAACAGG